AGAGUUUGAUCCUGGCUCAGGACGAACGCUGGCGGCAUGCCUAAUACAUGCAAGUCGAGCGGACUUGAAAAGAAGCUUGCUUUUUUGAUGGUUAGCGGCGGACGGGUGAGUAACACGUAGGCAACCUGCCCUCAAGUUUGGGACAACUACCGGAAACGGUAGCUAAUACCGAAUAAUUGUUUUCUUCGCCUGAAGGAAACUGGAAAGACGGAGCAAUCUGUCACUUGGGGAUGGGCCUGCGGCGCAUUAGCUAGUUGGUGAGGUAACGGCUCACCAAGGCGACGAUGCGUAGCCGACCUGAGAGGGUGAUCGGCCACACUGGGACUGAGACACGGCCCAGACUCCUACGGGAGGCAGCAGUAGGGAAUCUUCCGCAAUGGGCGAAAGCCUGACGGAGCAAUGCCGCGUGAGUGAUGAAGGUUUUCGGAUCGUAAAGCUCUGUUGCCAGGGAAGAACGCUUGGGAGAGUAACUGCUCUCAAGGUGACGGUAGCUGAGAAGAAAGGCCCGGCU
RNAcentral lists this ribosomal RNA (511 nucleotides) under Paenibacillus amylolyticus. Its description in RNAcentral is "bacterial SSU rRNA". It matches the Rfam family "Bacterial small subunit ribosomal RNA", at positions 8 to 498 of the family's 1533-position model. Lineage: Bacteria; Bacillati; Bacillota; Bacilli; Caryophanales; Paenibacillaceae. The record is from RNAcentral.